RNAcentral lists this ribosomal RNA (425 nucleotides) under Pipa pipa group sp. ABGD cluster 5. RNAcentral describes it as "partial large subunit ribosomal RNA". It matches the Rfam family "Archaeal large subunit ribosomal RNA", at positions 1914 to 2466 of the family's 2987-position model. The record is from RNAcentral. Lineage: Eukaryota; Metazoa; Chordata; Amphibia; Anura; Pipidae.
CUUGCCAACACACAAACAUAAGAGGUCCAGCCUGCCCAGUGACAAAUUGUUCAACGGCCGCGGUAUUCUGACCGUGCAAAGGUAGCGUAAUCACUUGUCUUUUAAAUAAAGACUGGUAUGAAAGGCACCACGAAGAUUCAACUGUCUCUCUUAUCUAGUCAGUGAAACUGAUCUCCCCGUGCAGAAGCGGGGAUGCACACACAAGACGAGAAGACCCCAUGGAGCUUAAAACACAAGCAACUGCUAUCCAAUAACCAUCGAAAGACUAAAUCUACAUCAAGCAGAAAUGACCCAAUGUUUUCGGUUGGGGCGACCACGGAGAAUAAAACAUCCUCCGCGAGAUGGAGGUUACACCCUGAAACGAACGACAGUUCUAAACAUCAGAACAUCUGACCUUCUUGAUCCAGUCUAACUGAUCAACGAAC